Molecule: long non-coding RNA, 588 nt
Filed under: Mustela putorius furo (domestic ferret)
Lineage: Eukaryota; Metazoa; Chordata; Mammalia; Carnivora; Mustelidae
Description: lncRNA (ENSMPUG00000028530.1)
Source: RNAcentral
UAGGCACUGUCAGCUUGGCUGACAACAACAGCUCUGUCAUCAACUUGGAAAUAGAAACUCUACUAGACACAGAGGCAAGAAAGUCAUGUUCUAGAAUUUUUUUUCCCCCCCAGGGAUUCUUUCAGCUCAAACUAUGUACAUUCAGAGAUAUCAGUAGCUCCAACAGAAAGAAAAAUGCAAAUCAUAAAGCAGCAGUUCUCAAAACACUGCUUAUGAGACAACAAGGGACUGUGAUUCAUGGCAGAUGGAAAACGAACAAGGUAAGCUCUGUUGCCUGUCAUGUUUACAGUUUGCAGGCCACACGCAGGGAAGGGGAAAUGAGGAGGGCACUGGAAAACACCUGAAUUGAGAAAGAGAAAGACAGGAGUUUGGAGAAGAGUGCAAGAGAAACAGCUGCCCAGAGAGAGAAGACAUUUGCAGAGGGUCCCCUGUGAGCAAUCAGCAGGAGACAGAUCAGAGCAUACCUGUGAGGGAACUGCCAGGUAACUGGGAGAAAGAACCCUCCAAGAAGAAGAGGGGUAAUACUACACAGUGUUCAGUCAGGGCAGGCAAUAAUGCCCUUUCUCAAUAGCAAGGCUGAAAAAGAGC